Molecule: transfer RNA, 73 nt
Filed under: Bacillota bacterium
Lineage: Bacteria; Bacillati; Bacillota
Also listed under: 2 other names
Description: tRNA-Val
Rfam family: tRNA
About the family: Transfer RNA (tRNA) molecules are approximately 80 nucleotides in length. Their secondary structure includes four short double-helical elements and three loops (D, anti-codon, and T loops). Further hydrogen bonds mediate the characteristic L-shaped molecular structure. tRNAs have two regions of fundamental functional importance: the anti-codon, which is responsible for specific mRNA codon recognition, and the 3' end, to which the tRNAs corresponding amino acid is attached (by aminoacyl-tRNA synthetases). tRNAs cope with the degeneracy of the genetic code in two manners: having more than one tRNA (with a specific anti-codon) for a particular amino acid; and 'wobble' base-pairing, i.e. permitting non-standard base-pairing at the 3rd anti-codon position.
Source: RNAcentral
GGGCGAAUAGCUCAGUUGGAAGAGCGCUGCUUUCACAGAGCAGAAGUCGCAGGUUCAAGCCCUGCUUCGCCCA